AAAAAAAAAAAAAAAAACUAUAGCUCAGGCUGCAAAAUCCCUUAUUUCAAUAUUUUAAAGCAUUGAAUACCCUUUACCCCUUGAAAUUCUUAUUGUACUUCUUUGCAAUUUCAUUUUUUGCUACUUUUUUCUUGUGCUAUCUGUAGCAGCUUCAUAGAAGGUGCAUUUUGCCUUUGAUUUUCAGUAGGCUUAUUUUUUGAAAUAUGUAUCUUUUCAUUUUCUUAUGAUGAAAAAUUUGAGUAGGAAUGAUGAAUCAUGUGAUUUGACACAAUUUGGGGAAUAACAAAAGAGAAACCUUGCCAAUGAACUUUAUGAUUUGCAUGUUGCAUUCCCCGCAGUUUGAGUAUUUACUCGUUAUUCUUUAACCAAUAAAAGGUGAUAGACUGCUAAAAUUUCAGGUAGUAAGUAAGGGGGAGCUCUUUUAGGACCAAUAUACAUACACAUCCUUCAGAUAAAGUAACUCAUCUAAUUGAAUGUUGUAACCGGUAACUUUGGCUUGUAGUCUUUGAAUUUCAGCCCCUACUAAUGCUAUCCAUCAAGUUUAAGUUGCUAGGACUGUUUGUUUUGAUGGUUGAUUCCAAACUGAUGUGACACAUCUUAAUACUUUUUGGUGGGUAGCUAUCAAGCAAUUGCUGGGUUCUAGGGUUUAGAUUUAAGGAAGGAGGGGAAUUUAAGGUUAGGAAAUUGAAUUAUGACUGAUUAGAGCGGGAAAAGCGAAGAAAAUAAAUUAGAGACUAUUUGUUGGCUGUCAACCCCACCUGAGUUGCUGUAGCUACAGCUUUGGAAGAAAGGAAGAAGAAGAGGAGGAGAAAUGGUAUGCACCCAGUUUUUACAAAUCAAAUACUCAUUCAUUUAUCAUUAAUGUCUAAGAAAAUAGUUAGUUAUACAGGUAUUUGAAGAAAAUAACUAAUCCUACUCCUACUCCUACCAGGAUUAGUGAUCCCAAAUUAGAAAUAUUCUAAACCAAUACUAAAAAAGCAGCAAACAGGUUUCUGAAAUUUUGAAAAUAAAAAUUCCUAAAUAUUGCUAAACCAUAAAUUUCCUAAAUAGAACAUUUUACAUGAAAUACCGAACUACAAAAUAAACAAUUAAAUCAAAAUAAAUACAUCUAGUUUAAUUGAGCUUAUCACUUGGUGUUAAUGGAUCAUGCUUAUUAAUAUUUCCAUUAAUGCUUUUUUUGAGCAUGCUAUGAUUAGGAAUACUUACUUCUCCCGAAUUGACAACAUUUGCUUUUAAGAUCAUCAGUAACUUGAACAAACAAAAAGACAGCCUAUGAUGAGGAAAUUCUUUUGGCAGGAUAAUGAAAAUUUUGUUGAAG
This 1318-nucleotide unclassified non-coding RNA is filed under the name Hevea brasiliensis (rubber tree). The record is from RNAcentral. Lineage: Eukaryota; Viridiplantae; Streptophyta; Magnoliopsida; Malpighiales; Euphorbiaceae.